UAAACAUGAGAGUUACUUUGCCGAGUUAACUGACGAGGACUCACCUAUUUUUUUUUUUAGUCAGUUUAGAAAGUUUUCAGUUUAGCUAGCUAACAUAGCUAACGUGACUGCUGACUAGCCAAGGGACGUUUGAGCGCGAGUGGACAAAGAUGGAGAGAUUCCAGAUUCCACCGCCACCGAAGUUUGACUUCACGUGGCCAGAAGAGUGGCCCAAAUGGAUUAAGAGGUUUGAGAGAUUCCGGAUUGCAUCAGGACUAGAGCUCCAGGCAGAAGAAAAUCAGAGAAAUCUACGCAGACAUUACAAACCUGUUUCGGACGUGCGCCAGCCGUGGAGAAUUCAAGCCUGAAGAAGAGGUGCUAGAAUUCAAGCCUGAAGAAGAGGUGCUAGCAACCCCGAACGACGUUCCUGAACAGCUUAACAGAGCCGAACCAGUGCAGACCUCUCCUUCAGUCGAACCUUCAGGGAGUGGAGGCAGCCAUUGACGCCCAAGGACAGAUCCCUACCUGCGUUCUUUGCCAGGACAUGUCGAGCAGCUCCCGGAGAAGGAGGACACCUGUUGACCGGCGCUCAAACAACCUCCAGAUCCAGACCUCGUUUAGCACAUUCAUCACAGCUGAACUGGUAUUAACUCACUCACAGAGGGAUACUGAUUUUUCAUUGUUUUUCAAUAUGUCAGAGGACAGUCAAGAUAGGUCACCCGAAUCAGGAGUGAAUCCUUAUCUCACCGCCUUAAUUACAGAAAUAAAUAAUGCUUUAUAUGAUACGUGUCAGCCUGGAGAUCCCCUACAUGAUUCAGCAGAGAGAACAACCCCGCACCGUAUUAAUCAGGCCGAAUUCCAAAAGCAAAUACGUCUGACACAGUUAACAGAGGCGUUAAACGGCUUAGCCCGGCCCGUUGAAACUGGCUUGGACGGCGAAAUACCAGGGGCCUCCUCACAAACCCCCCUUCCAAUCAGCACGGUUUCCUCCUUGAGGGGAGAAGACGAGAGACCGGGAACGUCAUCACUUCUGCGCAGUGAAUUAGAAUCACACCGUCAGAGCAGGGAUCGUGCGGGAGGGGGCACCUGUCAUGAGUGGGGCAGGGAGAAAUCUUGUUACAACAACCAGAAACAGGUUUAAUAACGUGGAAAUCCGGCAAAUGUUAAAUUUCCCUGCAACAGGUGAUACCCCAGACUUUGCUCAGUUUUAGAAUGGUGUCAUGACCACCUUUCAAAGCUCUGUUGAAAGAGCAGUAUCAUGGGGUCAUGCCGAAAUACGUCGUCCUGGGUAUGGUGAACCACAAUGCUUUCAGCGGAAAAAGGGAUUUAUCCCCGUUUAACUUCCUAAACUAUGACGUGGAAUAUCUGGCUCUAAGCCAAAAUGGGAGACAGGUGCCUUCUAAACCCUUCCAACUGCAAUUUAACAACGGGAUCUCUGUCAGAGAGUUUUAUAAUUUGUACACAGCCACAGGGAGCCAUUUGAAGGAUCUUCCUCUCUGUAUAACUUGUGACGAUUUCCCGCUGGGAUACGCCAUGUAUGCCUUUAACCUGAGUCCGGAGGAGGAUACGGGGCACUGUCACCAGUUUCUACUGGCAGUCUAAGGCUGGAAAUGCGUUUCAGAGUGGCGACCCCACAUACGAUAACGCUAGUGGUCUACACGUGCUACGACUCCAUUCUGGAAAUUAACUCCAAACGUCAAGUGUUGGUCGAUUUUUACUGAAUCAUGGACACUCUCGAGUUGGAGGCCGUGAUGAGGCGUUUAGCAGGAAACAUUUUCGGAGGAGUGUGGGCCUGUGAUUAAUUAGAUCGCAUCAAAGCGAAACCACCUGCUUUUUUCAUAGUAAAUACCUACCCGAGGCAUUUGCCCCAAGGCUAAGCGCCUUGGGGCAACUGUUUGUUGUGAUUUGGCGCUAUAUAAAUAAAAUUGAUUUGAUUUGAUUUGAUUUACCGGGUGAACACUGGCUGGCGAUCACUGUUGAAAAAGAUGGUGGAGCUACGUUUUUUGAUUCCUUCGGAUUUAGCCCGGAUUUCAACCUGUACCCCAAAGGUAUCCUACAGUAUUUGGAAAAUCAACGCGGGAUUACAAAGAUUUUCUAUCAUAACAGACAGCUACAACAUGAAAUGUCAGAUGUGUCGGGCAACACUGUCUUUUAUUUAUCUAAAAGAGCCUGUGGGCUGUCCUACAAAGAUGUACUGUCUUUAUACACCCGCAACACUGUUAAGAACGACGAUAUGGUUUUUGAAUUUGUGAAGGAAUAUCAGCAAUGUACCAGAACAGGCUGUAAGAGCUUGUGUAACCAGUGUUCAUGUUGUUUUCAUGCGUUUAAAACCUGUUACAAUUUACACUGAAUGAAAUCGCUGUAGACUGUUACUUUUGUAAAGAUUUUUAUUGUGGUGAUAAACAUGCUGUAUAACAACAAAUUACCCCUUGAUGCUGAUGUGGGCUGGCUUUGAUUAGAGUUUUAAGAAGGUCGGCAUUCCUUUUUUAAAGUGAGCUCAUGGUCUCCUGCUGGAUUUUGCAAUAUAAACAGCUGGCCACUGAUUUUGCAACAACCCCGUUCUCAGUCUAAACCGAUCUGGGAAGUUUUGUGUACAGUCCAGGAAUAAAUAUCCGUAUGGUUCGCUUGGUUGCGUCUUCUAAGCUGUCCAAAAAAUAUUGUUGUUUUUUUUGAGGGGAACAUUUGUUGAGCUAAAAUAUUCAUCUGCAGCUUAUCACUUGGGUUUUUAAAGAGCACCAUAUAGCUUGUGUUGAGACUGAUUGUUCUGCUGUAUUUCCCCUGAUGAAACACAUUCUGAGUUAUUAAAAUUAUUGACAUAUUCCUAUGGUGUCUGUACUGUGUAAAUACUCUCACAACUCCGGGGUCAUCAGCUGCCUGAAAAAUGAGAU
Long non-coding RNA from Thalassophryne amazonica, 2867 nucleotides. RefSeq lists it as uncharacterized. The record is from RefSeq and is a predicted model, not a curated record. NCBI's taxonomy places the organism in Eukaryota, Metazoa, Chordata, Actinopteri, Batrachoidiformes, Batrachoididae. The transcript has 7 exons.